CUUUCGCUUCUCAUUUCCCGGUUUGGGUGGAGCCUUCCCUGGGUGAAGUUCACUCACUUCCUGCUCAGGGAUCAGCAGCCACAGCAGAACCAGGCUGGGGAGACUGGAAGGAUUAGCGGUCCAGGCAGUGCCCAGGGCAGGACGAUGGCCAGUGGGGGCAGCGACCUCAGCACCAGGAUGUCUGCAGAAGAUGAGAACAUAGAAAACAAAAGUAUCAAUGACAUUGCACUCAGAUACUUCAAAAAAUAUAAAGUGGAGAUUUCAGAUGCAAUAAAAACAACAUUUCCUUUCCUUGAACUUCUCCGUGACCAUGAAUUCAUCACCAAUGAAAUGUAUGAAGAGUCUCAAGAAUCUUUUAAAAAAAAGUGUCCUGUACAUGUAGUCAUAUACGAUGUUCUCUGUGAACUGGAGAAGAAAUUUGACAUGUCUCUUCUGGGAGCACUGUUCAGCAAGACCAUCAUGAAGAAUUACCCCGAUUUAUUUCGAAUUUAUAAAAUAUUCUACAAAGCCAUACCAGACAUAGAAUUCCUCCUAGAAAAUGAUGGAGAAGAAUAUGAGGAGAGGCCUAAUGACCAACUAAGCCUGGAACAAGGAACUGGUGGUAGUUCAUAUCAAAGACUGACAUGGUUAGGCCCAGAUGCCUGGAAUUACAAUGAUACAGCCCCACCUGAAUGUGGACCCUUAGAGCACCGCCAUGACACACAAGAGAUAAAUGCAACUGAAACAGAUACAACCAGUGACAAUGAGGAUGCACUAAAAAGCCAACAAGCAAAUGAACAAUGUGCCCAAGAGUCUAAGACAGCAGGAGCAGAGCUACUCCACCAUGGAAACCAAACCAACUCCUGCUCUGUAAACCCAAUGGGUAUGAAGAAGGAAAAGUCAUUUUUAUAUUCAGGAGUUGAAUGUGAAGCCCAAGCAAGGACUGGCUGUAACCAGGCGUCUGACGUAAUAGUGAUCAACAGUCAGGACUUUGAAGAAUUUACUGAUGAAGAUGAGCCUCCCAUUGGUUCCACCUCAGCAUUGAAAAGGAAGCCAGAGUCUGUGGAUUUCAGAAAAUCACCUACAUCUGGACAAAUACUUUGCAAAACAGGAGCAGAGCUACUCCACCAGGGAAACCAAAACACCUCCUGCUCUGUAAACCCAAUGGGUAUAAAGAAGGAAAAGUCAUUUUUAUAUUCAGGAGUUGAAUGUGAAGCCCAAGCAAGGACUGACUGUAACCAGGCAUCUGACGUAAUAGUGAUCGACAGUCAGGACUUUGCAGAAUUUACUGAUGAAGAUGGAUCUUCUGAAGCUUCCACCACAGCAUUGAAAAGGGAGCCAGAGUCCAUGGAUUUCAGAAAAUCACCUACCUCUGGAAAAAUACUUUGCAAAACAAGGAGAAGUAUUGAAGAUUCUUCAGGAUUCUGUGCAGAGAAGAAGCCACGAGUAACCUGUAGCUCUGCACUGGGAAACCCUGAAGUGUCUUCAGGAUUCAGUGCACAGAAUAAGCCACCAGGAACUCAUAGCUCUGCAGUGAGAAACCCUAAAGUGUCUUCAGGAUUCAGUGCACAAAAUAAGCCCCCAGGACCCUGUAGCUCUGCAGUGAGAAACCCUGAAGUGUCUUCAGGAUUCAGUGCACAGAAUAAGCCCCCAGGAGACUGUAGCUCUGCAGUGAGAAACCCUGAAGUAUCUUCAGGAUUCAGUGCAAAGAAUAAGCCCCCAGGAGCCUGUAGCUCUACAGUGAGAAACCCUAAAGUGUCUUCAGGAUUCAGUGCAAAGAAUAAGCCCCCAGGAGCCUGUAGCUCUACAGUGAGAAAACCUAAAGUGUCUGCAGGAUUCAGUGCAAAGAAUAAGCCCCCAGGACCCUGUAGCUCUACAGUGAGAAAACCUAAAGUGUCUUCAGGAUUCAGUGCAAAGAAUAAGCCCCCAGGACCCUGUACCUCUGCAAUGAGAAUUUCUGAAGUGUCUUCAGGAUUCAGUGCAAAGAAUAAGCCCCCAGGACCCUGUACCUCUGCAAUGAGAAUUUCUGAAGUGUCUUCAGGAUUCAGUGCACAGAAUAAGCCACCAGGAGCCUGUAGCUCUGCAGUUAGAAGUCUUGAAGGUUCUUCAGGAUUUGCCACACAGAAUAAGCCCCCGGGAGCCUGUAGCUCUGCACUGAGAAUUGGUCCUGAUGAGAAGGGUACUGUGCAUCUUGGGAAAAAAUCUACUUUAGAAAAAGCUAAGAGGGAAAAAAGGUCAAGAAAGCACAAAGAAGAAAAUGCGAAUUUUCACUCUGAAAUAUUACCAGUGACCUGUGGGAAGAUAGAAGGCAUGUUAUAUGUUAAGAAGUUCGAACAAGGAACCAAAAGAAAAUGUAUAAGAAGCCAGGAUGGAAAUUGGUUCAACCCUAAGGAAUUUGAAGAGAAAGCGGGCUACGGAACCUCAAAAAGUUGUUGGAAGACCCGUGUGCGCAGCAAUGGGAAUACCCUAAAAUCGCUGAUGAAGAAGGGACGACUACCUACACCUCCAGCAGAACGUAGCAGGUCAAAAAAGCUGAGAAGUUCAGAAGUAUGUAAGAUCUGCUGCCGUGAAGGAAAUCUCUUCUGCUGUAUUACUUGUUUGAGCUUCUUUCAUGGGGACUGUCACCUCCCACCUGUGGAAACUGAGAGGAGCCCGUGGAGGUGCACCUUGUGCAGGGUGAAGGAGUGUUCAGGAAGUCAGCAGUCUGCCAGGGAAUCUGAAGUCCUGGCGAGGCUGAUGGGGCCUGAGUCGCAGCUGAAAUGUGAGUUCCUCCUCUUGAUGCUCUAUUGCCAUUCAGAGGGCAAUGGUUUUCCGAAUAUUCAACGUGAUACCUAUCUGGAUUUUAUAGGAAUCCACAGAAGGCAGACAUUGUACUGUAUCAGAAAUCCUCUCAAUAUUAUUUUUUCAUCAGAGAAUCGAGAAUUUUCAAUGCAUGGCAGAUUUUUUGGUGCUGGAUGAAAUCAAGAAGAAGCUAAUUGAGCGGCGUUACCUCAAUGUGAUGGAGUUUAUGCAGGAUGUGCGCCGCAUCUUUUUGGUACACAGGGCGUCUAAAAAAUGCAAUAACUUUUGCUGGGGAAUUAGACAGGAGGAGAAAUUUGAGCUGAAUUUCAAGCAAGUGUUUGCUGUUCAGGAAACAGAACAAGAACAUACAACAAAAUUAAAUUAGAAAACAAUGUUCAGAAAACAAAACAAGAACAUACAACAAAAUUAAAUUAGAAAACAAAAUUAGAAGUUCAAUAAAGAAGAAGAAACUAUGUCACAUACAACGGAGCCCCCACAAGACUAUCAGAAAAUUACUCGACAGACAUUUUGCAGAUCAAGAGAGAGUGGAUGAUAUAUUGAAAAUAUUGAAAAAAAAUAAUUGUUAAGGAAGAUUAGUACUCAGCAAAGCUGUCCUAUAGAAUUAAAGGAGAAAUAGACCCAUCAAAGGGAACUUGAGAAAGUUCAUUACCACUAGAACUGCUUUAUAAGAAGUGCUAAAGGAUGUUUUUCAAGCUAAAAUAAAAGGAAAGUAAUUAACAUUGCAAAAACAUGACCUGAACUCUCAACUAUACACAGUUGGGUGCCCUUUCUUCCUUUGUUACAGGCACUGGGGAUUUAGAGCAGGUAGGAGGCAGAGGGAAGGUUGUGGCCCAAAUCCCUUGGGAAGAGAUGGCUGCCUAGACAUGUCCUUGAACCAAAAUACCAGAUUCAAAAACCAUAACUCAACCUCCUUCUUUAACAAAGAAAAAUAUACACUUCAGCUUUUUGGCAACAACUUUUAUAUCUCAUAUGUAUAAAUGGUUUUUAAGUAUUAACUCCAACUGAAAUUCUAAAAUAAACCAUGUCUUUUCUAGGCA
RNA transcript from Myotis lucifugus (little brown bat), 3818 nucleotides. It is a transcript of the gene named nuclear body protein SP140-like protein, with no coding region annotated. The record is from RefSeq and is a predicted model, not a curated record. NCBI's taxonomy places the organism in Eukaryota, Metazoa, Chordata, Mammalia, Chiroptera, Vespertilionidae. The transcript is spliced from 22 exons.